UUAGAGUUUGAUAGUGGCUCAGGAUGUGUGAAUCGCGGUGUGCCUUAUACAUGCAUGUCGAACGAGGCGUAGAAUACGUCUAGUGGCAAAUGGGUGAGUAAUAAAUAGGUAACCAACCCUUAAGACGGGGAUACCCCAUCGAAAGACGCUCAUAAUACCCGAUAAUGUCCCUUCCGGUGCGCUGGAGGGGAAGAAAGAUGGCGCAAGCUAUCACUUUUGGACGGGCUUAUUUCCUAUCAGCUAGUUGGUGAGGUAACGGCUUACCAAGGCUACGACGGGUAGCUGGUCUGAGAGGACGGUCAGCCACAUUGGGACUGCGACACGGCCCAGACUCCUACGGGAGGCAGCAGUCGGGAAUAUUCGGCCAAUGCGCGAAAGCGUGACCGAGCGACACCGCGUGGGCGACGAAGAUCUUAGGAUUGUAAAGCCCUUUUGCCAGGGAAGAAUACGCUGGAGACAAUAUCAAUAGCGUUUGACGGUACCUGGCGAAUAAGCCGCAGCAAACUACGUGCCAGCAGCUGCGGUAAUACGUAGGCGGCGAGCGUUAUCCGGAAUUACUGGGUGUAAAGGGUCCGCAGGCGACUUGUUAAGUUAAGAGUUAAAUCUCAAAGCCCAACUUUGAGGCCGCUCUUAGGACUGGCAAGAUAGAGUGUAGAAGACGGAAGUGGAAUUCCUGGUGGAGAGGUAAAAUCCGUAGAUAUCAAGAGGAACACCUGUGGUGAAGACGGCUUCCGAGUCUAUAACUGACGCUCAUGGACGAAAGCUAGGGGAGCAAACAGGAUUAGAUACCCUGGUAGUCCUAGCCCUAAACGAUGAAUACUUGGUAAUAGGGAGUACAUACUCUUUAUCGCCGAAGCUAACGCAUUAAGUAUUCCACCUGGGGACUACGGCCGCAAGGUUGAAACUCAAAGGAAUUGACGGGGGCCCGCACAAGCAGCGAGGCAUGUGGUUUAAUUCGAUGCUACACGAAGAACCUUACCUGGGCUUGACAUGUAGUGGAAAGCAGUAUGAAAGUACUGCCCUUGUUGUAGCAAUACAACAACCGCUAUGCAGGUGGUGCAUGGUUGUCGUCAGCUCGUGUCGUGAGAUGUAAGGUUAAGUCCUUAAACGAGCGCAACCCCUGCCACUAGUUGCCACCGGUUCGGCCGGGCACUCUAGUGGGACCGCUAGUGAUAAACUAGAGGAAGGUGGGGAUGACGUCAAAUCCUCACGCCCCUUAUGUCCAGGGCUACACACAUGCGACAAUGGUAGGGACAGCAGGAUGCGACGAGGUAACUUUGAGCCAAUCCUCAAACCCUGCCCCAGUACAGAUCGAGGGCUGCAACCCGCCCUCGUGAAGAUGGAGUUGCUAGUAAACGCAGGUCAGCUAUACUGCGUUGAAUACGUUCCCGGGCCUUGUACACACCGCCCGUCACACCACCCGAGUCGUGUGCACCCGAAGUCGGCAACCUCAACCGCAAGGAGAGGACCGCCGAAGGUGUGCUCGGUAAGGAGGGUGAAGUCGUAACAAGGCAGGUGUACGAGAACGUGCGCCUGGAUCACCUCCUUU
RNAcentral lists this ribosomal RNA (1549 nucleotides) under uncultured bacterium. Its description in RNAcentral is "16S ribosomal RNA". It matches the Rfam family "Bacterial small subunit ribosomal RNA". The record is from RNAcentral.